AGAAACCUGACCUUAAAAGAUACUUCUGAUUCACUACCGUCUGUUAUAGAUGAGCCUUUGGAAGACCAAACACAACUUGAGUUGAAGAAUAAAAGUUCAUUAGAGAAGAUCAAUCAAAUUGUACCACUGCUUGUCAACAAAGGUGGACCUUGUCUUCAAAUCUUGAAUCUUCUCACAAAAGAAAGGACAAAGAAAUACAUUGAACAUCAAAGCACUUCUGCUCCAAUAUCAACCCCAAAAUCUGAACUAAAUGGCAUUUAUUGUGAACCUGACUUCCAAAUGGAUGCUGAGACUGGGUUCAGCUAUUUUUUGACUCGCUCAGAUAGUCCAGUGAUCAACAGCUGUGAUGUAGACUCCUCAAACACCUCGUCUACUACUUAUCCUUUUUCAAAUUUUACGGUCAGACCCAUAUCAGAACCCGCUUACUCUUUUGCAUCCUCUCCAGUGGGACCAUCUCACAUUGAGCACCCUUACUCGGCUCCUUUGCCAGUCUCCAAGGGGGCUGAUCUACCCCGAAUCAUCAGACACAAGCCCAGCUCCAUUACCUUUGCAGAUUAUGACAGUUUUUUGGGUCUGAUCAAGAAUGCCCAAGCCAAUGAAGGUUCAGAUGCUUGUGAGGCCUCUUCUGAAGAUGAAGGCCGUGAUGUGGUCUUCCAUGAUGAUAGCGAUGAUGUGUUUCCCAAGUGCAAAGAAUUUUUCCAAAGCUCCAGACAAAACGGGGAAGGAUUGAAGAAACAAAGGAGUAAAGGAACCUGUAGACAAGCACAUGGAGAAAGAAGUUCCAGCACCAAUCUGCCACCCAACAGAAGCAGCAGCUAUGAGGCAGAGGAGGAGAGCAGCAGUACAGAGAGUGGAGCUGUAGGGGUGAACCAGUCCCUCAACUUGAACAACAUGGCUAGAAGAAACGACACAAGGGAACGGCAUGGCCAAGAGAGACAUGCGGGAGCCACUUCCUCUCAGGGGAGAUCACAUGGUAAAAAGACAGAGAUGUCCAUCAAGAAGAGGCAUGGAGGCGCAGGUGAGUUCUCAUUUUCCUUUAUGUAUCAAACUGGGCUGGCAAUAAGACAUGUUUGGAUGUAAUAGGCACAGUAAUGUUUUUUGGUGCAUUUAUCAGACUGGGUAAAUGCGUUUGACAUUUGAGGUGUAAAAGAACCUCUUGUCAUGCAGUUUCUGAAAGUUAUAGGCCUAUAUAAACUUGUAUCCCCUACAUUAAGAUAUCCUACAUAUUUUUUUCUAAUCAGUUAAGAGAUGUUCACUAAUUAGACCAGUUUAUUGUUGAGCUCUUUAAUACUUGGAC
RNAcentral lists this long non-coding RNA (1297 nucleotides) under Sinocyclocheilus grahami. RNAcentral's name for it is "lncRNA (ENSSGRG00000020089.1)". The record is from RNAcentral. Lineage: Eukaryota; Metazoa; Chordata; Actinopteri; Cypriniformes; Cyprinidae.